CUCAAGAAACCACUUUCUUUGCUCAUCCACAAG
RNAcentral lists this microRNA (33 nucleotides) under Canis lupus familiaris (dog). RNAcentral's name for it is "miRNA (ENSCAFG00000057016.1, ENSCAFG00845022288.1, ENSCAFG00845022481.1, ENSCAFG00845022627.1)". RNAcentral also lists the same sequence under 1 other name. The record is from RNAcentral. Lineage: Eukaryota; Metazoa; Chordata; Mammalia; Carnivora; Canidae.